GGGGAAUCUUCCGCAAUGGGCGAAAGCCUGACGGAGCGACGCCGCGUGGAGGAUGAAGGCCUUCGGGUUGUAAACUCCUGUCACGGGUUAUGAAACGGCGUGGUUUAACAGGCCACGUUUUGACGUAAGCCCGGAAGGAAGCACCGGCUAACUCUGUGCCAGCAGCCGCGGUAAUACAGAGGGUGCGAACGUUGUUCGGAAUUACUGGACAUAAAGCGCGCGUAGGCGGCCACGUAAGUGUCUUGUGAAAUCCCACGGCUCACCCGUGUGAAUUGUGAGGCAUACUGCGUGGCUAGAGUGUGGUAGGGGAGAGCGGAACUCCUGGUGGAGCGGUGAAAUGCGUAGAUAUCAGGAGGAACACCGGUGGCGAAGGCGGCUCUCUGGUCCAUUACUGACGCUGAGGUGCGAAAGCUAGGGUAGCGAAUGGGAUUAGAUACCCCUGUAGUC
This 447-nucleotide ribosomal RNA is filed under the name uncultured cyanobacterium. Its description in RNAcentral is "bacterial SSU rRNA". It matches the Rfam family "Bacterial small subunit ribosomal RNA", at positions 356 to 795 of the family's 1533-position model. The record is from RNAcentral. Lineage: Bacteria; Bacillati; Cyanobacteriota.